GUAAGGAAUAUUGGUCAAUGGGGGCAACCCUGAACCAGCCAUGCCGCGUGAAGGAUGAAGGCGUUAUGCGUUGUAAACUUCUUUUGUAUGGGAAGAAUGACAGGGAUUCAUCCUUGGAGAGACGGUACCAUACGAAUAAGCACCGGCUAACUCCGUGCCAGCAGCCGCGGUAAUACGGAGGGUGCAAGCGUUAUACGGAAUCACUGGGUUUAAAGGGUACGUAGGCGGUUAAUGAAGUUAGGAGUGAAAGACUGUCGCUCAACGACGGAUGUGCUAUUGAUACUGGUUAACUGUAAUCAGGUUAGAGUUGGCGGAAUGGGUCAUGUAGCGGUGAAAUGCUUAGAUAUGACUUGGAACACCGAUAGCGAAGGCAGCUGACUGAGCCUUGAUUGACGCUGAGGUACGAAAGUGUGGGUAGCGAACAGGAUUAGAAACCCGGGUAGUCC
RNAcentral lists this ribosomal RNA (446 nucleotides) under uncultured bacterium. RNAcentral describes it as "partial 16S ribosomal RNA". It matches the Rfam family "Bacterial small subunit ribosomal RNA", at positions 354 to 796 of the family's 1533-position model. The record is from RNAcentral.